This 292-nucleotide ribosomal RNA is filed under the name uncultured prokaryote. Its description in RNAcentral is "partial 16S ribosomal RNA". It matches the Rfam family "Bacterial small subunit ribosomal RNA", at positions 505 to 796 of the family's 1533-position model. The record is from RNAcentral.
GUGUCAGCAGCCGCGGUAAUACGGAGGGUGCGAGCGUUAAUCGGAAUUACUGGGCGUAAAGGGUUCGUAGGUGGUUUGUUAAGUUGUCUGUGAAAUCCCCGGGCUUAACCUGGGCAGGUCAGACAAAACUGAUAGACUCGAGUAUGGGAGAGGGUAGUGGAAUUUCCGGUGUAGCGGUGAAAUGCGUAGAGAUCGGAAGGAACACCAGUGGCGAAGGCGGCUACCUGGCCUAAUACUGACACUGAGGAACGAAAGCGUGGGGAGCAAACAAGAUUAGAUACCCCAGUAGUCC